Molecule: long non-coding RNA, 346 nt
Organism: Macrobrachium nipponense
Lineage: Eukaryota; Metazoa; Arthropoda; Malacostraca; Decapoda; Palaemonidae
Exons: 4
Source: RefSeq, a predicted model, not a curated record
GGCUGCCAGGGAGUAUCACCAUGAGGUCCCGACGACGCUACAAAUCUCUGCUGUUUUUGAGAUUAAUUUCAGGGGUUGAGAAAAAAGUUCCAGUUGAGAAGGAAUGCAGCCACGCACACGGCGUGGACCCUCCUUAGUUUGACAGUUGAACUGGAUAACAUACAUACAACACAACUGCUGGCUUCAACGGUCCAGGGCUGGGAAAAGCGUGACCAUCCUUGCUUGCUUAGGCCUGGUCAGAAAGACGUCGUGUUUCAGGUAAGUGGCCCCGUGUUCUUCGUUUACCAUGGAAGUAGACAAUUGCACAUUUAGGAUCGAGAUUGACCUGACUUCUGCCACCCUUCUA